UACAGAGGGUGCAAGCGUUAAUCGGAAUUACUGGGCGUAAAGGGUGCGUAGGUGGUUGAAUAAGUUAGGUGUGAAAGUCCAGGGCUUAACCUUGGGAUUGCGCCUAGUACUGUUUAGCUAGAGUACUGUAGAGGAAGGUGGAAUUUCCGGUGUAGCGGUGAAAUGCGUAGAUAUCGGGAGGAACACCAGUGGCGAAGGCGACUACCUGGCCUGUUUCUUGACGCUGAGGCGCGAAAGCUAGGGGAGCAAACGGG
This 254-nucleotide ribosomal RNA is filed under the name uncultured bacterium. RNAcentral describes it as "partial 16S ribosomal RNA". It matches the Rfam family "Bacterial small subunit ribosomal RNA", at positions 524 to 776 of the family's 1533-position model. The record is from RNAcentral.